This 492-nucleotide ribosomal RNA is filed under the name uncultured bacterium. Its description in RNAcentral is "partial 16S ribosomal RNA". It matches the Rfam family "Bacterial small subunit ribosomal RNA", at positions 29 to 507 of the family's 1533-position model. The record is from RNAcentral.
AGUGAACGCUGGCGGUAGGCCUAACACAUGCAAGUCGAACGGCAGCACAGUAAGAGCUUGCUCUUACGGGUGGCGAGUGGCGGACGGGUGAGGAAUACAUCGGAAUCUACUUUUUCGUGGGGGAUAACGUAGGGAAACUUACGCUAAUACCGCAUACGACCUACGGGUUAAAGCAGUGGAUCUUCGGACCUUGCGCGAUUGAAUGAGCCGAUGUCGGAUUAGCUAGUUGGCGGGGUAAAGGCCCACCAAGGCGACGAUCCGUAGCUGGUCUGAGAGGAUGAUCGGCCACACUGGAACUGAGACACGGUCCAGACUCCUACGGGAGGCAGCAGUGGGGAAUAUUGGACAAUGGGCGCAAGCCUGAUCCAGCCAUACCGCGUGAGUGAAGAAGGCCUUCGGGUUGUAAAGCCCUUUUGUUGGGAAAGAAAAGCAGCAGGUUAAUACCCCGCUGUUCUGACGGUACCCAAAGAGUAAGCACCGGCUAACUUCGUG